Molecule: ribosomal RNA, 497 nt
Filed under: uncultured bacterium
Lineage: Bacteria
Description: partial 16S ribosomal RNA
Rfam family: Bacterial small subunit ribosomal RNA
Source: RNAcentral
GAUGAACGCUGGCGGCGUGCCUAAUACAUGCAAGUCGAGCGAACAGACGAGGAGCUUGCUCCUCUGACGUUAGCGGCGGACGGGUGAGUAACACGUGGAUAACCUACCUAUAAGACUGGGAUAACUUCGGGAAACCGGAGCUAAUACCGGAUAAUAUAUUGAACCGCAUGGUUCAAUAGUGAAAGACGGUUUUGCUGUCACUUAUAGCUUGAUCCGCGCCGCAUUAGCUAGUUGGUAAGGUAACGGCUUACCAAGGCAACGAUGCGUAGCCGACCUGAGCGGGUGAUCGGCCACACUGGAACUGAGACACGGUCCAGACUCCUACGGGAGGCAGCAGUAGGGAAUCUUCCGCAAUGGGCGAAAGCCUGACGGAGCAACGCCGCGUGAGUGAUGAAGGUCUUCGGAUCGUAAAACUCUGUUAUUAGGGAAGAACAAAUGUGUAAGUAACUGUGCACAUCUUGACGGUACCUAAUCAGAAAGCCACGGCUAACUACGUG